UUUAUGAUGAGGGUGAAAGAACAGGGAAACGCCCCUACUAUGACGAUCUUUGUGACAGGUUAAGGAAACAACGAACAGAAAAUGGAACCAAAAUGUUUUCCCCUGCUGAAUGGCUAUCUGUUAGUCAAAUUAAAAGUUUGUUUGCAGGUUUUGCAUCUAAACAACAUUCAAGAAGGGAUAUCCACAUGCUUUACAUGUUGUAGCUCCUGAUCAAGUUGAUGUAAAUGAUGUUGAAUUGAGAAAUGUAUUGUCUGAAAUUGAAAACUGGGAGAUACAAGAGAACAUGUCACUCUUAACCGACAAAAUUUUGUCAACAGAACUUGACCCGUUUCAUGCAGAUACAUGUAAUUGAAAGUGUUUGUAGCAGAUCAUGGACUUUUUAUGAAUACACUUAUGAAUUGUCUCCCUUUAAUGUUAUUAUAAAUGAUUAAUUGUCUUUUAAAAUAUUCAGAAUCAAGUGAGAAAUUGAAGUCAGGCUUGUUCACUCUUCCUUUUAUCAUAUCAAUUUUGGCUGUACAAAUCAUUAAAAAUGAAUGGAUAAUGAAAGACAGUCCUUGCUUUCCAAAAGUCUUAACUUGCCAGGUGGUGCAUUCAGCCUCUAGUUAGAAAAAAAAUAAUCUAAGCUAUGACCAUUGCCUGAGAUGAAAAUUUUUAAAAAUAAAUUAGGCAUCGUCCUUUGAUGGUGCAUGUUUUGUACAAAUUUAAAUCAUUUACCCUCUAAUUUUCCUUGUGAAAAAAUACAAAAUAUCAAAUGCUGUUGUCUUAAAGUAAGUUGUGACCUUGACUUUUGACCUUUAAGGCUACUACAGAGCCUGAAACUGAUAAGAGACUGUUUCCUCUUGUUGGUUAGGUGCAUGUUUGUACCAUAUAUUUUAAUGAAAACUUGAUUUGUUUGAAGGUGCUGUUAUAUGAAAAACUUUUAAAAAAAAAAAAUAUGAAAAAUUGCUAUUAUCUGUAUAUAUUGUGACCAUGACCUUUGAUCUACAGAGCCAAAUUUGAAUCAAUUUCUUUUCUCCUCAUUCCUUUGGGUGUUUGUUGAUUAAGUUUCAUGAAAAUCCAAAGAUGUGUUUCUUUGAGUUCAUCUGUAAAUGAUAUUGUGACUUACAAAAUGACUUAGGAACAACCAGAUGCCAACUUGUAUUUAUAAUUUUGUUAACAGGGGUAAACCUAUUUGCCCCUUCCAUAUAUUCAUAUCUUAUGUUGAUAGAAUAUCUUUUUAAUACAAUUUCAAUAAUUUUUCAACAUAAUUGACCUAAUAGCUCCAGUUUUAAUGUUACUUAUUCAUGUGCAGAAAUUUUGAUUUUUACAGUGUUUGAAGAAAAAUCACAAAAUUUCAUCAUUUUCAUGUCUCUGCCAGACACAUAAGAAUAUGAGUGCCCACCAAUUUUAUUCUUAAAUUAGUUUGUACUAUACUUCAACUUUGCAGUGUGAUAUGAUUUUUUCAAUUGUCAGUGGUAGAUGAGAUUUUGUAUCUGUUUUAAAAUGUGUAAUUUUCAACAAAAAAAAUACGGGAAAAUUUAAUAUAAUUAUCUCCCUUUGACAGGCAA
RNAcentral lists this long non-coding RNA (1547 nucleotides) under Mytilus galloprovincialis (Mediterranean mussel). The record is from RNAcentral. Lineage: Eukaryota; Metazoa; Mollusca; Bivalvia; Mytilida; Mytilidae.